CACAUAUCUCACUGUAAAACCCUACGGGAGAGCAGGGAAUGUAGAUUUUGCUCUGAUGUUGCUGAAGGAGAUGAAUACUGUUCUCUCCGGCUGUACACUUCCACACUGUGUAGAACCUGGCUGGGAAGACAUACCCAGGUAAAACCUACAAGUUCUUGUCUUCUCUGCUUUCCCAGGAUGACAGCUGACUCUGUUCGUUAUCUCAGGAUCUCUUCUCUCCUUUGAGGGCAAGAGAAUGUGCAGUGUUGCAGUACCAGUAUAACCCGGAGCUUACCUCUUGGAGAAAUGCUUCCCCUUCGUGAUGUGAAGGAUAAUUCUUGGUUUUAUGUGUCUAAUCCAACACAUGGAGGGGUUCUCUGCCUCUUUCUCGAGAUGUAUGAGCAGGGAACUCAGGAUGUAUGGGGUUUUCUGGGAUGACUUGGGAAGGGGACCCUCAAAAACUGUCCCCAGAGAGCAGAUGUCAGCUCCUGCCCCUCUGCUCUCCUGUGAGGAAGAUGCAGGCUGCCAUGAGGGAGCUGUGGGCAAUGAGGAGCCAUAGGAUAUGAAGAGCUGUAGGCCACGAGGAGCUGUAGGCCAUGAGGAGCUGUAGGAUAUGAGGAGCUGUAGACCACCAUGUAGGAGCUGCAGAAUUCCAUGAAGGAGCUGUAGACCUCUAUGAGGGAGCUUUGGGCCAUGAGGAACUGUGGGACAUGAGGAGCUGUGGGACAUGAGGAGCUGUAGACCUCCAUGAAGGAGCUGUAGGCCAUGAGGAGCUGUAGGACAUGAGCUGUAGCCCACCACGGAGGAGCUGUAGACUGCCAUGAGGGAACUGUGGGCCAUGAGGAGCUGUGGGACAUGAGGAGCUGUAGACCUCCAUGAAGGAGCUGCAGACCAUGAGGAGCUGUUGGUCAUGAGCUCUGUAGGCCACCAUGAGGCCUCCCUUCAAUCUCUGCUUCUCUGGGCUGAGCAAACCAAGGGACCUCAGUUUUCCUCAUGCAUUUUUCCCUCUAGGAUCUCUUUAGCAGGCUGCCCAGAGCAGGAAGCCAAGGCAGCUGUUCCAAAUUCCUCUUUGGAAUAGCCACUUCUUGUCCUAUAUCUGCAAGGGACCACAGUGGGUCCCAGAUCUCAUCAUGGUCUGCCCGACAGAAGGGAAUGGACACAACAGUGUCCCCAGGCAGGGCAGCACGGCAUUGUGCCACAUGUGGAGGAGAGCCAAGGGACCAGGCUGGACCAGGACCAAAUGGUUACAAAAUGGCCAUCAAUAAACAGAGUCCGGAAAUUAGCAGGUCUUGAAACUUGGAGAAAGCGAUGUCCUGGAACAGGUUCCAGCAGGAGCAGUGGAGGCAAGAAGCCCACGUGGUUUAAAAUUGAGCUUUAUGAAUAGGUUUUAUUAUGUGGCUGCCAGCAAUAGCAAGGGCUGAAUUGAUGGCUGGGAAGGUUCCUUUUAAGGCAUUUUGGUCUUUGCUCCAUGCUUUGCAUUCUCCUGGGAUUUUUUAAGGUGACCUUCAAAGGAUGGCUUUUAGAAAGCAAAUUCUAUCACACUGUGAUUUCUUUGCAAAGUAUAGAGAAACCCUGAAAGAUUUUUAAAUAUUUGUGUUAGUUUAUGCUUGAUGGUUGCUUUUGGACGGACAGGAAAGUUGAGUCUAGUUGUGCUGGAAGCCCUGCUGGUCUUCUGAUGCGUCUGUUGGGAGAGUGGCUUUAAUGUCUGCACUCCUCCAGUGAGUUCAUUG
Long non-coding RNA from Gallus gallus (chicken), 1709 nucleotides. Lineage: Eukaryota; Metazoa; Chordata; Aves; Galliformes; Phasianidae. The record is from Ensembl.